AGAGAGUUGCUCAUUCUUCCCAUUUUCCUCUUCGUCGACUCUUAAUCCGUAGGUUCGGGGUUCGAUUCCCCGGCGGUCCACCA
Molecule: transfer RNA, 83 nt
Filed under: Nitrospinaceae bacterium
Lineage: Bacteria; Pseudomonadati; Nitrospinota; Nitrospinia; Nitrospinales; Nitrospinaceae
Description: tRNA-Lys
Source: RNAcentral